This is a long non-coding RNA of Vicia villosa (hairy vetch), 602 nucleotides long. RefSeq lists it as uncharacterized. NCBI's taxonomy places the organism in Eukaryota, Viridiplantae, Streptophyta, Magnoliopsida, Fabales, Fabaceae. The transcript is spliced from 3 exons. The record is from RefSeq and is a predicted model, not a curated record.
UGUGCGCAAUAAAUUCUUCUACCAACCCCACUACUUCCUCUCAGUAACGUUACAAUAGUAUUCUUUAUAGCUUCUCCUCACUCUCCACCCACUCCCCACACAUUCUCAUUACUGCUUCCUUUAAUUUUUCAUCCAUUCCCAAAAUUAUUUCAAAUAUCAUCUUCUUCUUCCAUGAGUCAUGAAGCCAUGAAAAUUAUAUCAUCUUCAAAUUAAAAAUUUUGAGAAGCCCAAUAUUUUAAAGGAAAGCUCCAAAAUCUACACCAAAAUUAUCUACAAAUAAGAGUUGUGGGAAGAAAUGAGGAGCCAGACACAACAGUAUCAAGAAGUAAUGCGAAUUGCAAACGAGCGAACACAAAGAUUUGAUUAUUUUUUUGUGACAAAAUACCGGUGGUGGAUUCGGAGAAGCUAAUGGUGGAUAUGGAGGAGUUGUUGAAGAAGAAGAGGAACAAGAUGAAGAAAUAAUUAAAUUUGAAUAUUUAAAUUUAUUUUAAUUUGUAUGGAAGAAUUUAUGUGUCAAUUAACAACUAUUUUGAAUAUUUUGUAUGGAACUUUAUUUUAAUUUUUAUUAUGUUUAAUUGAAUAUUAAUUAUUAAUAUUUAUUA